Molecule: long non-coding RNA, 299 nt
Filed under: Pan troglodytes (chimpanzee)
Lineage: Eukaryota; Metazoa; Chordata; Mammalia; Primates; Hominidae
Description: long non-coding RNA NONPTRT017692
Source: RNAcentral
CGCCUGUUGACAGGCACCCUCCUGCUGGGGUCCUCCGACCUCUGACUUGCCGAGUGACACCGUGACCCGAGAUGCACCCUUCGCCCUUGUCUUCAGGACACAACCAGAGAUGGAAUCCACAGGACACAGAACAAAAGGUGUACCAGAGCCAGGCUGGCAGUGACACUCGACAGGCCAGCCCAGCAGGUAGCCCUGCAGCUCCUGCAGGUCAAUCUCGGCCAGUGCAGGCCCAGUCACCACAAACAUGCGGAGCAUGUUGUAGAUACGAUCCAGUGAGAGGCUCUCCAGGUUGGUCAGCA